RNAcentral lists this ribosomal RNA (1374 nucleotides) under metagenome. Its description in RNAcentral is "bacterial LSU rRNA". It matches the Rfam family "Bacterial large subunit ribosomal RNA", at positions 1537 to 2925 of the family's 2925-position model. The record is from RNAcentral.
AAAAUCCGCUGUAACAAUUCUGAGGCGUGAUGGGGAAGGUCAUAUAGACCGAAGUACAUGAUUCCAUGCUUCCAAGAAAAGCAUCUAGAGAGAGAAGUAGUGCCCGUACCGCAAACCGACACAGGUAGAUGAGGAGAGAAUCCUAAGGCCGGCGGAAGAAUUGCAGUUAAGGAACUAGGCAAAUUGACCCCGUAAGUUCGCGAGAAGGGGUGCCUGCGAGAGCAGGCCGCAGAGAAUAGGCCCAAGCAACUGUUUAGCAAAAACACAGGUCUCUGCUAAAGCGCAAGCUGAUGUAUAGGGGCUGACGCCUGCCCGGUGCUGGAAGGUUAAGGGGAACACUUAGCGCAAGCGAAGGUGUGAACUUAAGCCCCAGUAAACGGCGGCCGUAACAAUAACGGUCCUAAGGUAGCGAAAUUCCUUGUCAGGUAAGUUCUGACCCGCACGAAUGGCGUAAUGACUUGGGCACUGUCUCAACUGCAAAUCCGGCGAAGUUGUAGUGCGAGUGAAGAUGCUCGCUACCCGCGAUUGGACGGAAAGACCCCGUAGAGCUUUACUGCAGCUUAGCAUUGAAUUCCGGUAUUGUCUGUACAGGAUAGGUGGGAGACUGGGAAACUAGGGCGUCAGCCUUAGUGGAGUCAACCUUGGGAUACCACCCUGACAGUACUGGGGUUCUAACAGGACGCCAUGAAUCUGGUGACUGGACAUUGUUAGGUGGGCAGUUUGACUGGGGCGGUCGCCUCCUAAAAAGUAACGGAGGCGCCCAAAGGUUCCCUCAGAACGGUCGGAAAUCGUUCGUAGAGUGCAAAGGCAGAAGGGAGCCUGACUGCGAGACCUACAAGUCGAGCAGGGACGAAAGUCGGGCUUAGUGAUCCGGUGGUACCUCGUGGGAGGGCCAUCGCUCAACGGAUAAAAGCUACCUCGGGGAUAACAGGCUGAUCUCCCCCAAGAGUCCACAUCGACGGGGAGGUUUGGCACCUCGAUGUCGGCUCGUCGCAUCCUGGGGCUGUAGUAGGUCCCAAGGGUUGGGCUGUUCGCCCAUUAAAGCGGCACGCGAGCUGGGUUCAGAACGUCGUGAGACAGUUCGGUCCCUAUCCGUCGCGGGCGUAGGAAAUUUGAGAGGAGCUGUCCUUAGUACGAGAGGACCGGGAUGGACUGACCUCUGGUGCACCAGUUGUUCCGCCAGGAGCACGGCUGGGUAGCUAAGUCGGGAAGGGAUAAACGCUGAAAGCAUCUAAGCGUGAAGCCUCCCUCAAGAUGAGAUUUCCCAUAGCAUAAGCUAGUAAGACCCCUUGAAGAACACAAGGUUGAUAGGUCAGAGGUGUAAGUGCGGUAACGUAUGUAGCUGACUGAUACUAAUAGGUCGAGGGCUUGACC